Molecule: ribosomal RNA, 778 nt
Filed under: uncultured Neocallimastigales
Lineage: Eukaryota; Fungi; Neocallimastigomycota; Neocallimastigomycetes; Neocallimastigales
Description: partial large subunit ribosomal RNA
Rfam family: Eukaryotic large subunit ribosomal RNA
Source: RNAcentral
CAUCACUACGCUAGAUGCAUAUCAAUAAGCGGAGGAAAAGAAACUAACAAGGAUUCCCUAGUAACGGCGAGUGAAGCGGGAAGAGCUCAAAUUUGAAAUCUUAAAGGGUUUCCCUUUACGAAUUGUAGUUUAAAGAAGUGUUUUCUGUUGGAGUUUCGGUAAAAGUUCUUUGGAAUAGGACAUCAUAGAGGGUGAGAAUCCCGUAUUUGACCGUUACUUUCCAGCUGUGUGAUACACUUUCAAAGAGUCGGAUUGUUUGGGAAUGCAGUCCAAAAUGGGUGGUAAAUUUCAUCUAAAGCUAAAUAUUGGCGAGAGACCGAUAGCGAACAAGUACCGUGAGGGAAAGAUGAAAAGAACUUUGAAAAGAGAGUUAAACAGUACGUGAAAUUGUCAAAAGGGAAGCGUUUGACACCAGUGUUGUUUAGUUGAAAAUCAAUUCAAUAAUUUUUGAUUUUGAGUAGUAUUGACUUCAUCAGCUUGCUGCUUUCUUUUCGGAAAUUAUUGAAUGCACUUUUCAGUUAACAAGUCAACAUCAAUUUCUUUUGUUGUAAAAGGGUAAGAGGAAGGUGGCUUACUCUUCGGCGUAAAGUGUUUAUAGCCUUGUGACCUCUACAAUCGGAGAGAUUGAGGUACUGCAGCGUAGACUCCUUCGGGGUUAGAUACGCUUGUGCUAAGCUAUAGCCUUGUAUAGACAACUUGUUGACUAUGCUCAGUCAUGUAGCUUACUCGCUUGUGCUAUUUUACCUACGCUUAGGAUGUUGACGAGACUGUCGAUCUC